CAGCAGCCGCGGUAAUACGGAGGGUGCGAGCGUUAAUCGGAAUUACUGGGCGUAAAGGGUGCGUAGGUGGUAGGGUAAGUUAACUGUGAAAUUCCUGGGCUUAACCUGGGGUGGUCAGUUAAAACUGCUUUACUCGAGUAUGGGAGAGGGUAGUGGAAUUUCCGGUGUAGCGGUGAAAUGCGUAGAGAUCGGAAGGAACACCAGUGGCGAAGGCGGCUACCUGGCCUAAUACUGACACUGAGGCACGAAAGCGUGGGGAGCAAACAGGAUUAGAUACCCUGGUAGUCCACGCUGUAAACGAUGUCAACUAGCUGUUGGGUAUAUGAAUGUACUUAGUGGCGCAGCAAACGCGAUAAGUUGACCGCCUGGGGAGUACGGUCGCAAGAUUAAAACUCAAAGGAAUUGACGG
This 409-nucleotide ribosomal RNA is filed under the name uncultured bacterium. Its description in RNAcentral is "bacterial SSU rRNA". It matches the Rfam family "Bacterial small subunit ribosomal RNA", at positions 509 to 916 of the family's 1533-position model. The record is from RNAcentral.